This is a long non-coding RNA of Zea mays, 614 nucleotides long. RefSeq lists it as uncharacterized. NCBI's taxonomy places the organism in Eukaryota, Viridiplantae, Streptophyta, Magnoliopsida, Poales, Poaceae. The transcript is spliced from 2 exons. The record is from RefSeq and is a predicted model, not a curated record.
GUUCACCACUCGCCCGACCACUACGUGGGUCGUGGAACUGCCCACCUCAGCUGCUGCAUAAAAAAACCACCGGCCCCUAGUCGGCUAAUCUUCACCUUAUCCCACCCUCGCUAUGCACAUCCACCACUGCCCAUGCUAGGCUCGCUGCGGUGCCGCGUCAUGCCGCGCCCGCGCACCGCCACCAGUGUCUCAUCACACAUCACCGAGCUCCGUCGAGCGCUGGAGAAUGGACAUCAGCCACCCCCAUCCGAAGGCUUGCAGCGCCCGAAGCUACGCCAGAGCACCACGGACAUCGACGCCUCUGACUGCGAUCCAUUUUCGAGCUUCAAGGAAUCGACAGUCAAGCUUCGGCAACCAAGUGAUCGAAUUUUUCGAGUUCUACAAAGUUGAAGACCCUGAGCAUCUGUUUGGUGAAUGCAAGUGUCCUCUGUCCCAUUAUGUCCCAUUUACUUUAUAAUACACUGUCCCGCAUACUAUGAACAACUUAAGGAUUUACUAGCUUUCUAUUUACCUGGUCCUUGAUUACCUUUUGGGCUACUAUGGUUAGAUUCAUGCUAUUGUUUUACUUUAAUCAAUGAACAUGAUGAGAUACAAUGAUGAUACUAUGAUUUUAU